This 2379-nucleotide ribosomal RNA is filed under the name Triticum aestivum (bread wheat). RNAcentral describes it as "partial small subunit ribosomal RNA". Lineage: Eukaryota; Viridiplantae; Streptophyta; Magnoliopsida; Poales; Poaceae. The record is from RNAcentral.
AUGAUGCAACAAAUCUGGUCCGUUGAUCAAGCACAAGCUCUAGCCUUGAAGGCCGAGAGGUUUGUGAGGAUGAGAAAGACAACUAAGGCUCCAUAUCCUCCAUAUCCUCAUACCGAAGGCUCAUCUAGGAGCCAACCUAAUAGAGUGGAAGAAAAGACCACUCCACCAAAGACAAAACAGCCCAUCCCGAAGCAAACUAGAGGCAAGGGUAAGGCAAAUGAAGGCCCAAAGUGCUAUAAAUGUGGUGAAAAGGGACACAUAUCCAGCGGUUGCCCACUAAGGAAAUUUGUUAACACGACUAUCCAUGAUGGUGAAAGCGAUGAGGAAGAAUGCGAAUCUGAAGAUGUAGACGGACAAGAGGUUUGUCAAAAAGAAGGUGAAGAUGUGGUAUGUGUGAUCCAGCGUGUCCUAUGUUCCACACCACAACUCGAUGACACACAACGGAAGAAAAUAUUUGAGAGCAAAUGCACGGUGAAUGGCAAGGUAUGCAAACUAGUGAUUGAUAGUUGCAGCUGCGAGAAUCUUAUCUCCCAGAAGUUGGUGGACCAUUUAAAGCUUGAAACCCAUGAUCAUCCAAAUCCCUACACUAUUGGAUGGAUCAAGAAAGGAGUGAAUAUGAGGAUCACCAAACAAUGCAACCUGCCACUUUUUUUGGGUAAGCAUUAUCGCUCAAAUGUGUUGUGUGAUGUGGUUGACAUGGAUGCCAGCCAUGUUCUUCUUGGGAGGCCUUGGCAAUUUGAUGUGGAUACUACACACAAGGGCAAGGAAAAUUCUUACUCUUUCAUUUGGAACAAGAGAAGGAUCAUUAUCUUACCAAACAAAACCGAAGGUAAUACCUCUAAGGAGGAGCGGAAAACUAUGUUAACUAUCUCCCAUACCUCUCAUGAGUUUAUGGAAGACUUGAAGGAGGCAGAUUUGUGUGCUGCACUUGUUAUAAAGGGAGAAGAGCACCUGACUGUUGAAAUUCCAGCAAAGGUACGUGGUUUAUUGGCAGAAUUUCAGAACAUACUUGGGGAGCCACAUGGCUUGCCACCGAUGAGAGGAAUUCAACAUAGAAUUGACUUAAUUCCGGGAGCAAGUCUUCCUAAUCUUCCACACUAUCGAAUGAGCCCAAAGGAGCAUGAUAUAUUGAAGGAGAAAGUGGAGGAAUUGUUGCAAAAGGGGCACAUUCGAGAAAGUAUUAGCCCAUGUGUUGUACCAGCCCUACUCGCGCCAAAGAAAGAUGGAUCUUGGCGCAUGUGUACGGACAGUAGAGCCGUUAACAAGAUCACCGUAAGGUAUAGAUUCCCUAUUCCCCGUCUGGAUGAUAUGUUGGAUCAACUUAGUGGAGCAAGAGUGUUCACAAAGCUAGAUUUAAGAAGUGGAUAUCAUCAAAUCUGUAUAAGACCCGGGGAUGAAUGGAAGACCGCCUUCAAGACAAAGGAAGGGUUGUUUGAAUGGCUAGUCAUGCCAUUUGGACUCUCAAAUGCACCAAGUACCUUUAUGCACUUAAUGAAUCAAGUCCUUAGACCCUUCUUAUCCCACUUUGUUGUGGUCUAUUUCGAUGACAUCUUGAUCUAUAGCAAGGAUGAGGAUGGACACUUUGAUCACAUUCGGAAGGUGCUAGAAGUACUAAGGAAAAAUGAGCUCUACGUCAACUUGAAGAAAUGUGUUUUCCUGCAAACACAACUUCUUUUCCUAGGAUUCGUCAUAACAUGUGACGGCAUUCGUGUUGAUGAUUCUAAGGUUGAAGCAAUCCGAGAAUGGCCAACUCCUAAGACCAUUUCUGAGGUAAGAAGCUUUCAUGGCCUUGCAACUUUUUAUAGGCGAUUUGUUAAGAAUUUCAGCACUAUCAUGGCACCAAUUACCGAGUGUUUGAAGAAAGGAAAGUUCCAAUGGGCAGAAGCAGCUGAAGCUAGCUUCAAUGAGAUUAAACAAAAGCUAUCACAAGCUCCUGUCUUGGUACUACUUGAUUUCAACAAGACUUUUGAGUUGGAGUGUGAUGCAAGUGGAGUAGGCAUUGGAGCUGUCCUAUCUCAAGAAAGGAAGCCCAUUGCUUUCUUUAGCGAGAAGUUAAGUGAAGCUAGACAGAAAUGGAGUACCUAUCAACAAGAAUUAUACGCCGUUUUCAGAGCGUUGAAAACUUGGGAAGUCUAUUUGCUGCCUAAAGAGUUCAUUGUUUAUAGCGACCAUCAAUCCUUGAAGCAUUUUAGAAAUCAAAGGCAUGUUGACCGCAUGCUAGCAAGAUGGGCAGCAUAUUUGGAGAGAUUUAACUAUCUCAUCGUGCAUAAAUCUGGAAUAACUAACAGAGUGGCCGAUGCUUUGAGUCGUCGUGCAUGCCUCUUGACUUCUUUUGAAGCUGAACUUUCGGGCAUGGAUCAAAUAAAGGAGUUGUAUGAG